GCCAGAUUCAUUGCGUUCGCAUCCCAUGCCUGCUAGUUACAAAUGCCGGCUACCAGAUUGUGUAAUUCUGUCCCAUCUACUGCUUUCAUCGGGGGCUCAGAGCAGGAUCACGGCUCACUCUUACAAUUUAGAACUACCUGGAAUGGAAUUGCUUAGGAAAGAGGGAAAAGGCAUUUUUAGUCAAAAGCGAAGGAGGACAAAGUUAAACUCCACCAACAAUGGAAACUUCUUCCGGAUUCUUCCGGAGGCUGCCUGGUGCACUGGAGUGUGAUGCUUCCAGACUGCAGGAUUGCCCUCUUUACUGUCAGGUGGCUGUACAGCUGUGGAUUUUUGAGGACCGCACGAGGCUGCUGUGAGUUAAUAAUCCCAGACAAUCGCAGGCUCUCUUUUCCUCCAGGGGUGUGGCCCUUCGUUUACAGAAAGGAAGGCUGAAUCACAGAAUGGAAAAUGGUGACACACAGCCCAUCUCCAGCAGAGCGGGAAAACCUUGAGACGGCAUUGUCUUAAAGGUAGACUUUGAUCCCAAACUUGAGUCCUUUUCCAUUGCGACGCUAACUCGAAGGACAGGAUCUCCAGGUCUCUGUGGAUGAUCUCCCUGUCUCUGCUUGAGAGAAAACAGUUUGGGUGGUGUUUAUGCAUCGGUCUACAAAAUGAGAUUCUGAAAAUCUUUCUCCAUAAAGUGAAUUGUCUUUACCCCUGACGCUUCUCCUGAGACCUCUUAUUCGGUUAAAGCAACCCACCAGUUUGCCUGAAAGCUGUUUACACCGGGAAGUGUUAAGGGUAAGCCGGCCACACGCUUGUAUGAUAGCCCUUCCUGCCAAGUGCCCAGCCCAUGUUGGGAGGGCUUGCAUUGCCUGUUAGCAAGAGGACCUGUGUCUGGAAAUGGUAGCUUUCUCUCGAUCGGCAUGAAAGGCCUGCUUGGCUCUUUUCAAGUUGCUCAAAUUCCUAGUAGGGCUCUGGUCCUGAUUUCUUCCACCUGCUUUUCAAAAUUGCAGGUGACUUCUCUCCCGGGUGCCUUGGUUGGUUACGUCUGCCGUAGGACAUCCAUCGUGCCUGAAUCAAGCUGCUUCACUCUGCUUCCCGGGCCAUUUCCUUGCAACUUGCUUGCAUGCUAAUUUCUAGGGGAACACUUUUUUUUUUUUUUAAUGCGUGUGUGUGACUCAGGACUCAGGCUCAGUGCAGCACUUAGGUGUGCGUGAGGGAAUGCUAAAACGUUCUGGCCAGAGGAGAACAGCAUGGCCACGAAGAAGCUGAGAUCGUAUGCUGGGCUCAGAUCGUGGUGUGUGUGUGUGUGUGUGUGUGUGUGUGUGUGUGUGUUGGAUGGCUACAAAUUUAUUUGGGGACUUGUGGAAAAAGGUAUUAAAACAAACAGCCUCACAAGGAAUUACUGCUGUGCAGGGCAGUGUUACAUAGAUUGGUGAAUCUUUAUGCAUUUUGACAUGUGUCAGUCUUGCUGGCUUUGGCUGUGACCUACAUUAGGCACUGACUCAGGGUUCUUCAGUGAGAUGCAUUAACCUACCAGGUCAGAAGGCAUGAGGGCUGAGAUGGGCCAGCAAGCGGUGACCCACGGGCCGAAUCGCAUUUCCGUCCAGUUUAGUAACUUAAUGGUCACGUGGGGGCUGCAUAUUUGAGCAGGAUUUUGCCAGGCAGGUUGGGGAGGAAGAACACCCUCGCAUGGGUUGGCAGACUACAGUCUGAGGGCCAAAUGAGGCAUACCGCCUGUGUUUGUAAAUAAAGUUUUAUGUGAACACAGACCCCUUUGUUAAAGUAUUGCCUACGAUUGCUUUCGCUCUGCAAAGGCAGAGACCGUAUGGUCCCCCAAGCCUAAAAUAUUUGCUGUCUGGCCCUUUGCAGGAAAAACUGACCCUGCCCACCGCUAGGGUUGGGAUUAAGCACUGAAGCUGUGAAUCAACAGCUUGCCUUCUCGUCUCAAGGUUACUUGUUUCGGUGUAACCUUGGUUACAUACCUAUAAAAGGGAAAUAUGAAUAUUCCUGGGUUGCUGUGAGAAGUAAAUUCAAUAAUGAUCAUGAUUCAUUUUAAUGAAAGACUUCCAGAGUUCUUCCCAUAUUCUUGAUGCCCUGGAUUAUAAUCAUGCUGGAUCUUUUCUGUCGUUAUAAAAUUUAAACGUCAAAAAUAUUUGAGGAAUUUGGGCUGCCACCCUUCUCGUUCCAGGAAUAAAAGAUCCCGAAAUGCUUGCAGCGUAUUUUCGGGGUAUUUGAUGUUGACGAGUGGAGCCCGUGGCAGCUUAGGAAGUGUCCAUUGGUAUGUCUUUGGUCUAGUUGGGAUCUCGUUUCGGUUAGAGACUAAACCAUUAAGGUAUACAGGUGAAAUUUCUAGGACACAAACAAACUGGUAACAGGGGAUCAAGGUUCACAGUGGUCUCCGUAGAGUCAAAUAAAGGAUUUGGAGGAAACAAGAGAAUAUUUACCAGGGAUUGAUGUGGAUUCUGGCAUCAAUUAUUUAAGUCUGGGAAUUGGGAGACUUGGCCAGACAGCAGUUCCUGGGAAGUAGAUCUGGGGCUUCUAGCUGGCCACAAACUCAAUUUGAGCCAGAUGUAUACAGCUGACAAGGAAACAGUCUUAGCCUGCAUUAACGGAGUCGGUAUACGCCUUGUGGGUUCAAGGAAGGGAAAGCAAGAAAACAACUGAAAUGACCUAGACAGCCCACAUUUGAAGAAGCAACAUUAGUUAUGGAGACAAAUCACACGUUUGAGUGGAGAUGUUGCCGAAGUUGUGUAGGCUGAGGGGGAGCUGGGGGCAUAGUCAGGUUGUUGAGUAAUCUGGGAACUGUCAUACUGAGGAAAUGCCUGAAGGUUCUACGGAUGGUUCCCAGGAAAGGAGAUGACCACAAGGGAAGAAAGAGCUUUUCAAAAGCUCUGAAGCUGCUUUGCUAUCUUUAUUGGGUUUUUGGGGGGAGGGUGUGUGUGGGGGAACCUUAGGGAGAUAAAUGGGAGGUACUCCAUUUUGAGGGCAUCAGCUCAGCUCACACUUUCUCCACCCCUCCCCCUCGCACCCAAGCCCACAGUUGCAAGUGGGAAGUCCCUGGCAGCCAUGUUUGGUCAUCACAAUCCUGCCUUCCUGCUGACAGCUGAUCGGACAAGGGAGGGAGGCCUGCUGGAAGCCAGAGGAUGCGGACAAUAGACCGUACGGAAUUGCAGUGAGGACGAGACGGCCUCGUGUAGAGUUUCCUCUUGCUGCUGUAAGAAACGGCCAGGAAAUUAGUGACUUAAGACAGAAAAAAUGUAUUCUUUUAUGAUUCCGGAAGUCGGAGACCCCCAAGGGGCCUUACUGGGCCAAGGCCAAGGUGUUGGCAGAGCUGUGUCCCUCAGGAGGCUCUAGAGGAGAACCCACUCCCUUGGCUUUUCCUGCUUCUAGAGACCAAGUGCAUUCCUUGACUGGUAGCCCCUUCCUCUGUCUGCAUGCCCCCGCCCCCCGCUGCAACCCCUCCCGUCUCACACUCCUCUGGCACUGACCUCCGGCCUCCCUCUUUCACUCGCAAGGACCCUUCUUCUGUCUGCAUGCCCCCGCCCCCCGCUGCAACCCCUCCCGUCUCACACUCCUCUGGCACUGACCUCCGGCCUCCCUCUUUCACUCGCAAGGACCCUGUGGUUACAGUGGACCCAUCUGGAUCAUCAAAGAUAAUCUCCCCAUUUAAAAAUCCUCAACUUGGGGCGCCUGGGUGGCUCAGUCGGUUAGGCGUUUGACUCUCGAUUUCGGCUCAGGUCACGAUCUCACAGUUCGUGAGUUCA
Long non-coding RNA from Felis catus (domestic cat), 3749 nucleotides. RefSeq lists it as uncharacterized. The transcript has 6 exons. Lineage: Eukaryota; Metazoa; Chordata; Mammalia; Carnivora; Felidae. The record is from RefSeq and is a predicted model, not a curated record.